GACGAACGCUGGCGGCGUGCCUAAUACAUGCAAGUAGAACGCUGAAGGAGGAGCUUGCUUCUUCGGAUGAGUUGCGAACGGGUGAGUAACGCGUAGGUAACCUGCCUGGUAGCGGGGGAUAACUAUUGGAAACGAUAGCUAAUACCGCAUAAUAGUAGAUGUUGCAUGACAUUUGCUUAAAAGGUGCAAUUGCAUCACUACCAGAUGGACCUGCGUUGUAUUAGCUAGUUGGUGGGGUAACGGCUCACCAAGGCGACGAUACAUAGCCGACCUGAGAGGGUGAUCGGCCACACUGGGACUGAGACACGGCCCAGACUCCUACGGGAGGCAGCAGUAGGGAAUCUUCGGCAAUGGACGGAAGUCUGACCGAGCAACGCCGCGUGAGUGAAGAAGGUUUUCGGAUCGUAAAGCUCUGUUGUAAGAGAAGAACGGGUGUGAGAGUGGAAAGUUCACACUGU
RNAcentral lists this ribosomal RNA (458 nucleotides) under Streptococcus sp. oral taxon 064. Its description in RNAcentral is "bacterial SSU rRNA". It matches the Rfam family "Bacterial small subunit ribosomal RNA", at positions 28 to 472 of the family's 1533-position model. Lineage: Bacteria; Bacillati; Bacillota; Bacilli; Lactobacillales; Streptococcaceae. The record is from RNAcentral.